This 901-nucleotide ribosomal RNA is filed under the name Ambrosiella roeperi. RNAcentral describes it as "partial large subunit ribosomal RNA". It matches the Rfam family "Eukaryotic large subunit ribosomal RNA", at positions 36 to 966 of the family's 3401-position model. Lineage: Eukaryota; Fungi; Ascomycota; Sordariomycetes; Microascales; Ceratocystidaceae. The record is from RNAcentral.
AAGCAUAUCAAUAAGCGGAGGAAAAGAAACCAACAGGGAUUGCCUUAGUAACGGCGAGUGAAGCGGCAACAGCUCAAAUUUGAAAUCUGGCUACUUUGUAGUCCGAGUUGUAAUUUGUAGAGGAUGCUUUUGGUGAGGUGCUUUCUGAGUUCCCUGGAACGGGACGCCAGAGAGGGUGAGAGCCCCGUACAGUUAGCAACUGAUCCUUUGUAUAGCUCCUUCGACGAGUCGAGUAGUUUGGGAAUGCUGCUCUAAAUGGGAGGUAUAUCUCUUCUAAAGCUAAAUAUAGGCUAGAGACCGAUAGCGCACAAGUAGAGUGAUCGAAAGAUGAAAAGCACUUUGAAAAGAGAGUUAAACAGCACGUGAAAUUGUUGAAAGGGAAGCGCCUAUGACCAGACUUGUUUCUAUCAGUUUUGGUAGUUUUCGGACUGCUUUACUCUGUUAGUACAGGCCAACAUCAGUUUGUUGUCGGGGAGAAAGGCUUAGGGAAUGUGGCUCCCUCGGGAGUGUUAUAGACCUUUGCAUAAUACCCUUCGGCAGACUGAGGACCGCGCUUCGGCAAGGAUGUUGGCGUAAUGGUCAUCAGCGACCCGUCUUGAAACACGGACCAAGGAGUCAACCUUAUAUGCGAGUGUUUGGGUGUAAAACCCCAGCGCGUAAUGAAAGUGAACGUAGAUGAGAGCUUCGGCGCAUCAUCGACCGAUUCUGAUGUUCUCGGAUGGAUUUGAGUAAGAGCAUAUAGGGUUGGACCCGAAAGAAGGUGAACUAUGCUUGUAUAGGGUGAAGCCAGAGGAAACUCUGGUGGAGGCUCGCAGCGGUUCUGACGUGCAAAUCGAUCGUCAAAUAUGAGCAUGGGGGCGAAAGACUAAUCGAACCUUCUAGUAGCUGGUUCCAGCCGAAG